GAGGGUAUAGCUCAGUGGUAGAGUGCAUGCUUAGCAUGCAAAAGAUCCUGGGUUCAAUCUCCAGUACCUCCA
This 72-nucleotide transfer RNA is filed under the name Camelus bactrianus (Bactrian camel). It matches the Rfam family "tRNA". Rfam says of the family: Transfer RNA (tRNA) molecules are approximately 80 nucleotides in length. Their secondary structure includes four short double-helical elements and three loops (D, anti-codon, and T loops). Lineage: Eukaryota; Metazoa; Chordata; Mammalia; Artiodactyla; Camelidae. RNAcentral also lists the same sequence under 2 other names. The record is from Rfam by way of RNAcentral.